AGCUGGCUUCUCCAUUGGCCCAAGGGUGUGUGUGUGUGUGUGUGUGUGACGUCACGGCGUCCGACGCCUAUAUAAGAGGUGAAGAAGAGGCUUUGGACAUCAGUUCCUCGAAGGUUCUCGUCCGAAGAGCAUCAUCAUCAUCAUGAAGGUUAUGGUAGUCUUGUGCGCUGUGGUGGCUGCAGUCUCAGCCAUGCCCUCCGUAGGCCUGGUAGGUCCCUCUGGAGUGAUAGGGCCAUCUGGCAUCGUAGGACCCUCCGGCCCUGUCCAGUUCAGCCAGCCAGCCUGGGCAUUCUUGGGACACCACGCCCACGCCCACGUCGCCGCCCUCAACAGAAACCGACACCCACCCACCGUCCCAGUCCACCACCACAACCCAGCUGUUUUCCAGGCUGCCCCCGUAGUCCCAACCACCUACGGCGUGGACGCCGCCGGUUGCGUCGUAGGACCCUCUGGCAAAGUCUGCCCAACUGGCAACAUCCAGUUCACUUAAAAUGGACGACGUCUCCACUCGAUAAUAAUUAAAAAUCUAUUCUAGUUUCAUAGUUUUCUCCCCAAGAUGAUGAAACGAAAACAAAAAAUUAUGUCCAUCUUUUUCCUUGGUUUAUAACGACGUCCACGGGAUGGUUCUCAGCAGCAUUACAGAGAAUAUACGUCAAUAUUCGAGAUGCUUAAGACGAUAAAUGUAUAUCAAACAUAAUCAAACGUUUAAAAUCGAUAAUACUCGUGGAAUCUGAAGACGAAAAUUUUGUUUAUUAAUGUACGUAAAUGUAAUUUAAAUCUGUAUUAUUCGUGAUACUGAAAACGAAAGUUGUAUUUUAAACACACGCAAAUAUUCAAAUCGAUAAUAUUCGACAUCUUGAAGAGAUAUGACAGCAGAAAUUGUAUAAAUAUACUUCCAAACUCUUCCUGAAAAUCAACUCGAACUGGGACAGUGAUACCUUCUUGCCAAAACCAACCCUUUAUGGAAUUUUAGGACUUCUUAACUGACAUCAAGGAUAUAACCCAGGGGGGAAUGUUAUGCCUAACAUUAACGAGGUUCUGAGACAACGAGACAUUCAAACAUCCCCCUCUUGGUUUUGCCUGCGAGAAGUCCCGAUAGCCAAAAUUAAGGGUCCUAAUUUGAUUACAUCAAAAGGAUGAAUUCAUAUGAUGAUGGAUGUAUCAUACAGCUGAGUGCCUAUAUGUACAUGUGAUAGUAUUUUGUAAUAAAAAAAUAUAUGAAGCAUUA
Macrobrachium nipponense is the source of this 1228-nucleotide long non-coding RNA. RefSeq lists it as uncharacterized. Lineage: Eukaryota; Metazoa; Arthropoda; Malacostraca; Decapoda; Palaemonidae. The transcript is spliced from 3 exons. The record is from RefSeq and is a predicted model, not a curated record.